CUACGUGCCAGCAGCCGCGGUAAUACGUAGGUCCCGAGCGUUGUCCGGAUUUAUUGGGCGUAAAGCGAGCGCAGGCGGUUUGAUAAGUCUGAAGUUAAAGGCUGUGGCUCAACCAUAGUUCGCUUUGGAAACUGUCAAACUUGAGUGCAGAAGGGGAGAGUGGAAUUCCAUGUGUAGCGGUGAAAUGCGUAGAUAUAUGGAGGAACACCGGUGGCGAAAGCGGCUCUCUGGUCUGUAACUGACGCUGAGGCUCGAAAGCGUGGGGAGCGAACAGGAUUAGAUACCCUGGUAGUCCACGCCGUAAACGAUGAGUGCUAGGUGUUAGACCCUUUCCGGGGUUUAGUGCCGCAGCUAACGCAUUAAGCACUCCGCCUGGGGAGUACGACCGCAAGGUUGAAACUCAAAGGAAUUGACGGGGGCCCGCACAAGCGGUGGAGCAUGUGGUUUAAUUCGAAGCAACGCGAAGAACCUUACCAGGUCUUGACAUCCCUCUGACCGCUCUAGAGAUAGAGUUUUC
This 517-nucleotide ribosomal RNA is filed under the name uncultured bacterium. Its description in RNAcentral is "bacterial SSU rRNA". It matches the Rfam family "Bacterial small subunit ribosomal RNA", at positions 501 to 1016 of the family's 1533-position model. The record is from RNAcentral.